Molecule: long non-coding RNA, 238 nt
Filed under: Lathyrus oleraceus (garden pea)
Lineage: Eukaryota; Viridiplantae; Streptophyta; Magnoliopsida; Fabales; Fabaceae
Description: Pisum sativum (pea) long non-coding RNA (PSAT_LNC032184)
Source: RNAcentral
UUGGUUUGUGCGUAUCGACAACAAAUGAGACGUUGUAUGCAAAGGGUCAUAACACGGCGAAAUACAAUCAAUGUAUCGAUAGAAAAUCGAUGGCAUAACAACAUGAAAAUGUCAGAUCCACAUAUUAAAAUCCAAUUUUUAGCAAUGAAAGUAAAUCAAAGAAACAGAGCAAAAUCCACACGCAUAUCACACUUUAUUAAUCAUUAAUAUUGUGAAAUGACAAUGAUCAUAAUCGAAA